Molecule: small nuclear RNA, 377 nt
Filed under: Octodon degus (degu)
Lineage: Eukaryota; Metazoa; Chordata; Mammalia; Rodentia; Octodontidae
Description: 7SK RNA (ENSODEG00000023126.1)
Rfam family: 7SK RNA (bases 1-332)
About the family: 7SK was discovered as an abundant small nuclear RNA in the mid-70s but a possible function has only recently been suggested. Two independent studies have found that 7SK RNA binds the CDK9/cyclin T complex (known as elongation factor P-TEFb).
Source: RNAcentral
GGCAAUGAGGGCAAUCUAGAUGUGACAUCGGACACUCCAUUGAUCGCAGGGUUGAUUUGGCUUAUCUGGCUGAUUAGGCAGGUGUCCCCUUCCUCCUUCAAUGCUCCUUGUGCAUUCCUCCCUAAGCUGCAUGCUCAGUGGAAAAAGACUACCACACCUGAUAGAGGAGGACCAUUCCUCUGUCAAUGGUAUACCAGUAGCUGUGCUCCUCUCUAGAAGCUCCAAACAAGUUCUUAGAAAGCCCUUUCUACUGACAUGAUAGUUCUCAUGCCAGCUUUUUGUUGUAUGGAUAUUAGUUGGAAAGACAUCUACACAUGGCAUUGUUUUUUACAUUUUUUAUGGUAAAAUCUGGUUGAUUUGAAAAUCUGCCCUAUGGU